RNAcentral lists this ribosomal RNA (253 nucleotides) under uncultured bacterium. RNAcentral describes it as "partial 16S ribosomal RNA". It matches the Rfam family "Bacterial small subunit ribosomal RNA", at positions 524 to 776 of the family's 1533-position model. The record is from RNAcentral.
UACGUAGGGUGCAAGCGUUGAUCGGAAUUACUGGGCGUAAAGCGUGCGCAGGCGGCUAUGUAAGACAGGUGUGAAAUCCCCGGGCCUAACCUGGGAACUGCAUUUGUGACUGCAUAGCUAGAGUCCGUCAGAGGGGGGUGGAAUUCCACGUGUAGCAGUGAAAUGCGUAGAGAUGUGGAGGAACACCGAUGGCGAAGGCAGCACCCUGGGAUGAGACUGACGCUCAUGUACGAAAGCGUGGGGAGCAAACAGG